RNAcentral lists this ribosomal RNA (454 nucleotides) under uncultured bacterium. RNAcentral's name for it is "bacterial SSU rRNA". It matches the Rfam family "Bacterial small subunit ribosomal RNA", at positions 30 to 477 of the family's 1533-position model. The record is from RNAcentral.
AUUGAACGCUGGCGGCAUGCCUUACACAUGCAAGUCGAACGGCAGCACGGGAGCAAUCCUGGUGGCGAGUGGCGAACGGGUGAGUAAUGCAUCGGAACGUGCCAUUGAGUGGGGGAUAACGUAGCGAAAGUUACGCUAAUACCGCAUAUUCUGUGCGCAGGAAAGCAGGGGAUCGCAAGACCUUGCGCUCUUUGAGCGGCCGAUGUCAGAUUAGCUAGUUGGUGAGGUAAAGGCUCACCAAGGCGACGAUCUGUAGCUGGUCUGAGAGGAUGGCCAGCCACACUGGAACUGAGACACGGUCCAGACUCCUACGGGAGGCAGCAGUGGGGAAUAUUGGACAAUGGGCGCAAGCCUGAUCCAGCCAUGCCGCGUGUGUGAAGAAGGCCCUCGGGUUGUAAAGCACUUUAAGCGAGGAGGAAGGUCAUCAUACUAAUAUUAUGAUGAAUUGACGUUA